Molecule: ribosomal RNA, 253 nt
Filed under: uncultured bacterium
Lineage: Bacteria
Description: partial 16S ribosomal RNA
Rfam family: Bacterial small subunit ribosomal RNA
Source: RNAcentral
UACGUAGGGGGCUAGCGUUGUCCGGAUUCAUUGGGCGUAAAGGGUGCGUAGGCGGCGCGGUAAGUCGGGUGUGAAAUCUCGGAGCUUAACUCCGAAACUGCAUUCGAUACUGCCGUGCUUGAGGACUGGAGAGGAGACUGGAAUUUACGGUGUAGCGGUGAAAUGCGUAGAUAUCGUAAGGAAGACCAGUGGCGAAGGCGGGUCUCUGGACAGUUCCUGACGCUGAGGCACGAAAGCGUGGGGAGCAAACAGG